This 1255-nucleotide long non-coding RNA is filed under the name Equus caballus (horse). RNAcentral describes it as "lncRNA (ENSECAG00000046257.1)". Lineage: Eukaryota; Metazoa; Chordata; Mammalia; Perissodactyla; Equidae. The record is from RNAcentral.
CGGAGGCUGGAGGCUCCAGCACGGAAAGUGGGGACCCCUCUGCAUGCACGGAAGGGAAGAAAAACCCCCUCCCCACCUGUGGGCGCCUUCCAGGUGUGCUGCCCUUCAGGUUGGGGUUUGCAACAAACCAAAUGACAACAGCGACGGGCCCAAAGCAGAGGGAUGCACAACCAGCCAACGCCCAUGGCUGCCCCCAGGCCGGGCAGAGAGGCCAGCAGCCCUGGGCACAGAGCCUGGGCAUCCUGCGGAAGGGAAGCAGACCCAGGACACAGGCAGCGGCGAGCAGCGCUGUCAGAGGGAAGCAGGAGGAUUAAUCAGCGUGAUGCUCCCCACACUGAUUAAACAAUGAGGCGCCCUGGGGUUCUGCUGUCUGUCCCGAUGAGUGCUCAUCACCCUGAUGUGCAAACCCUGAACAGCUCCCUCGGGAGCAAACUACCUUUUAAUUUUUCUCUCUAAAGAUUAAUUCCAUUGUUACGGAACCUGUAUUAUAAGCACCGUAAACUAAUCAUUAGUCAUUUUCAAGCAAUCUGACCUUCCUUGCCACAAAUCGUGGAGUGUUUUCCAAGAGGUCUUUUUUGGGUUCUGGGGAUUUGCAUCAUGCAAGUUCAGAAAGAGUCGAAAAUAAACAAGAACAUUUGCCCCAGCGCCCCCAGCACCCGGACCUCUGAGGACAAAGGUCGAAAGGAUGGCAGAGCUCCAGCAUCAGCCAACCCCCCAAAGCCUCGUUGGUCUUUCUUUGCUCCCCAACCAAGUGUGACUCCUCCAUUUUGGAAGCACACGUCUUAGGGGACGUCACAUAUCUGGAGGACGGAGUCGGGGUGUGCGAGUGCUUUAGUUCCCCCGACUGUCUCUCCCCAGGAGCUGGAAACAUCUCCAGAGCUUAGGAUCUCCCACAGCACCAAGCACAGUGAGAUCUCGAAAGCUACUGCCUUCAUCCAACGAAAAUGACCCGUGCUCGGAGCUAGGUCUUUGAAAAUUCCUGUUCCCACUGUGGGGAGACGCAGCAGGAAAUCUGAUCUCUAAGCUACUGGCAUUUCUGAAAACUCUCACACCGGAAAACUCCUUCCACUCCCAUCGACGAAAGAGAUCACGGUCGUAUCAAGGAGAAUAACAUACUGGCCUCUGGUCAGCUACACACACACACACACACACCCCUUUUAACCUGCUCAGGGGUGUUGGGGGGAUUUCUGCUCAGAGUUUGGAGUCUGGCAUCUGAGGCCCCCUGUGCUCUGGCCUCAGCUGCUCUCGUCCACGU